This 336-nucleotide long non-coding RNA is filed under the name Homo sapiens (human). RNAcentral describes it as "non-protein coding lnc-FSCN1-3:1". Lineage: Eukaryota; Metazoa; Chordata; Mammalia; Primates; Hominidae. The record is from RNAcentral.
GGAGUUGGGGUGGGGGCGAGGCUUACUCCAGACGGGCUGGGGGAGGGGGCGUUGCCCGCGCGCUAGCCCCUCCUCCCAGCUCCUGCGGACCGCGGAGCUCGCCCACUCUCGCGUUCUCCCCUCCGCCCAGACAUCUACAGGCACCAGCGGCGACGAGGCGGGGAUGAUGCUGGAAGACUUAGGGUGGGACGGCCCCAUCCUCUCGGAACCUCCGUCCCUGCAACCGAUUUUAGGGUGGGGAUGGGGUGGGGGCUGAGUCUGCCCUCAAAACGGGGCUCAAGGCUCUUGGCUUGGAGCAGGCAGGGUUGGCCCUGUCCGGGCCCCCGGAGUGACUCA